Long non-coding RNA from Hevea brasiliensis (rubber tree), 252 nucleotides. RefSeq lists it as uncharacterized. NCBI's taxonomy places the organism in Eukaryota, Viridiplantae, Streptophyta, Magnoliopsida, Malpighiales, Euphorbiaceae. The record is from RefSeq and is a predicted model, not a curated record. The transcript has 2 exons.
AUCAAUUGCUCUAGAUAUUCAUUAUUUUGGGGUCUCUCUCUAGACUUUUAGAGAGAGAAGCUCUCUUUCUUUUCGUUUUCUGAAUCUGGGGUUACAAACGCUCCUUUACCGUCGCUCAGUCGACCUCCUCUGGCCCUUCGAAAGGAGGGAGGCCCCUCUUUCCUACCUGGCUUAUGGAUUUCCCUCCCCACAACUGAGUUGGAAUAUAUCUAUGUAAGCCUCGAAUCAUCAAAUGUCGAGCUUGUUCAUGAA